Molecule: unclassified non-coding RNA, 216 nt
Filed under: uncultured fungus
Lineage: Eukaryota; Fungi
Description: partial contains 18S rRNA, ITS1 and 5.8S rRNA
Source: RNAcentral
AGGUGAACCUGCGGAAGGAUCAUUACCGAGUUCAUGCCCUUACGGGUAGAUCUCCCACCCUUUGUAUACUAUACCUUUGUUGCUUUGGCGGGCCGCCUAGCUACUGGUUUCGGCUGGUAAGUGCCCGCCAGAGAACCCAAAACCCUGAAUUAUUAGUGUCGUCUGAGUAAAAUAUUUAAUAUUUAAAACUUUCAACAACGGAUCUCUUGGCUCUGG